CCUACGGGAGGCAGCAGUGGGGAAUAUUGGACAAUGGGCGGAAGCCUGAUCCAGCAACGCCGCGUGAGGGAUGACGGCCUUCGGGUUGUAAACCUCUUUCAGUACCGACGAAGCGCAAGUGACGGUAGGUACAGAAGAAGCACCGGCCAACUACGUGCCAGCAGCCGCGGUAAUACGUAGGGUGCGAGCGUUGUCCGGAAUUAUUGGGCGUAAAGGGCUCGUAGGCGGUUUGUCGCGUCGGGAGUGAAAACGCCGUGCUUAACACGGCGCUUGCUUUCGAUACGGGCAGACUAGAGGUAUGCAGGGGAGAACGGAAUUCCUGGUGUAGCGGUGAAAUGCGCAGAUAUCAGGAGGAACACCGGUGGCGAAGGCGGUUCUCUGGGCAUUACCUGACGCUGAGGAGCGAAAGUGUGGGGAGCGAACAGGAUUAGAUACCCUGGUAGUCCACACCGUAAACGUUGGGCGCUAGGUGUGGGAUCCAUUCCACGGGUUCCGUGCCGCAGCUAACGCAUUAAGCGCCCCGCCUGGGGAGUACGGCCGCAAGGCUAAAACUCAAAGGAAUUGACGG
Molecule: ribosomal RNA, 568 nt
Filed under: uncultured bacterium
Lineage: Bacteria
Description: bacterial SSU rRNA
Rfam family: Bacterial small subunit ribosomal RNA
Source: RNAcentral